RNAcentral lists this ribosomal RNA (468 nucleotides) under uncultured bacterium. Its description in RNAcentral is "partial 16S ribosomal RNA". It matches the Rfam family "Bacterial small subunit ribosomal RNA", at positions 28 to 507 of the family's 1533-position model. The record is from RNAcentral.
GACGAACGCUGGCGGCGUGCUUAACACAUGCAAGUCGAACGGAAAGACCCUGCUUUUGUGGGGUGCUCGAGUGGCGAACGGGUGAGUAACACGUGAGUAACCUGCCCUUGACUUUGGGAUAACUUCAGGAAACUGGGGCUAAUACCGGAUAGGAGCUCCUGCUGCAUGGUGGGGGUUGGAAAGUUUCGGCGGUUGGGGAUGGACUCGCGGCUUAUCAGCUUGUUGGUGGGGUAGUGGCUUACCAAGGCUUUGACGGGUAGCCGGCCUGAGAGGGUGACCGGCCAAAUUGGGACUGAGAUACGGCCCAGACUCCUACGGGAGGCAGCAGGGGGGAAUAUUGCACAAUGGGCGGAAGCCGGAUGCAGCAACGCCGCGUGCGGGAUGACGGCCUUCGGGUUGUAAACCGCUUUCGCCUGUGACGAAGCGUGAGUGACGGUAAUGGGUAAAGAAGCACCGGCUAACUACGUG